UACGGAGGGGGCUAGCGUUGUUCGGAAUUACUGGGCGUAAAGCGCGCGUAGGCGGCUUUGUAAGUUAGAGGUGAAAGCCCGGAGCUCAACUCCGGAAUUGCCUUUAAGACUGCAUCGCUUGAAUCAUGGAGAGGUGAGUGGAAUUCCCAGUGUAGAGGUGAAAUUCGUAGAUAUUGGGAAGAACACCGGUGGCGAAGGCGGCUAUCUGGCCCGUAAUUGACGCUGAGGCGCGAAAGCGUGGGGAGCAAACAGG
This 253-nucleotide ribosomal RNA is filed under the name uncultured bacterium. RNAcentral describes it as "partial 16S ribosomal RNA". It matches the Rfam family "Bacterial small subunit ribosomal RNA", at positions 524 to 776 of the family's 1533-position model. The record is from RNAcentral.